AGCAAUUCUCCUGUUCCUGCCUCCCGAGUAGCUGGGAUUACAGGACUUGGAUGUUGUGGGUGAUGGUAUGCAGUGUCCUCCUUCACCUUUGCUUUUUGAUCCUUCACUAACCCUUGAAGAUCAUUUAGUCAAAGAAAUUGCUGAAGACCCAGUGGAUAUUUUGGGCCAGAUGCAGAUGGCUGGAGAUGGGUGCAGAUCCCAGGGAUCUCGAAAUUCUGAGAAAGCCUCUGCACCAUUGUCUCAGAGUGGAUUGGCUACUGCAAAUGGGAAGCCAGAACCCACUUCUAUUAGUUGAUAGUUUGGGGAACCAUUUUACUUUGGUGGAUUUAAAUUUCUCGUUCUUCAAAGAAGUAUUUCUGAUCAUCUCUCACAAAACACAGGCAACCCAGACUACCUUGUUUUUCUUCUGGAUUGAGUAUUAUAGUCAAACGUAAAGCCAAAUUUUGAGGACGUGGACCGUGGGUUUCUUCCCACUCAGGGCAAGGAAGAGAAAGAGAGAUAAUCCCUAUCAAAGCUUCUGGGAUUAUUUGGGACUAUACCUAAAAGGAAAGUGACAUCUUUGUAAUGGGAUUUCCCAAGUCAUGGAUAGAAAUCCACUUAAGUAGCUAGGUGGGAGCUGUCUUUGUGAGUGGUGUCUUUGAGAUACUGAU
Molecule: long non-coding RNA, 650 nt
Filed under: Homo sapiens (human)
Lineage: Eukaryota; Metazoa; Chordata; Mammalia; Primates; Hominidae
Description: non-protein coding lnc-CCNT1-3:1
Source: RNAcentral